RNAcentral lists this ribosomal RNA (895 nucleotides) under Colletotrichum gloeosporioides. Its description in RNAcentral is "LSU rRNA". It matches the Rfam family "Eukaryotic large subunit ribosomal RNA", at positions 36 to 961 of the family's 3401-position model. Lineage: Eukaryota; Fungi; Ascomycota; Sordariomycetes; Glomerellales; Glomerellaceae. The record is from RNAcentral.
UAGCAUAUCAAUAAGCGGAGGAAAAGAAACCAACAGGGAUUGCCUCAGUAACGGCGAGUGAAGCGGCAACAGCUCAAAUUUGAAAUCUGGCCCUAGGCCCGAGUUGUAAUUUGCAGAGGAUGCUUUUGGUGCGGUGCCUUCCAAGUUCCCUAGAACGGGACGCCAGAGAGGGUGAGAGCCCCGUACAGUUGGACACCAAGCCUUUGUAAAGCUCCUUCGACGAGUCGAGUAGUUUGGGAAUGCUGCUCAAAAUGGGAGGUAUAUUUCUUCUAAAGCUAAAUACCGGCCAGAGACCGAUAGCGCACAAGUAGAGUGAUCGAAAGAUGAAAAGCACUUUGAAAAGAGGGUUAAACAGCACGUGAAAUUGUUAAAAGGGAAGCGCUUGUGACCAGACUUGCGUCCGGUGAAUCACCCAGCUCUCGCGGCUGGGGCACUUCGCCGGCUCAGGCCAGCAUCAGCUCGCUGUCGGGGACAAAAGCUUCGGGAACGUAGCUCUCUUCGGGGAGUGUUAUAGCCUGUUGCAUAAUACCCUUCGGCGGGCUGAGGUACGCGCUCCGCAAGGAUGCUGGCAUAAUGGUCAUCAGCGACCCGUCUUGAAACACGGACCAAGGAGUCAACCUUAUGUGCGAGUGUUCGGGUGUCAAACCCCUACGCGUAAUGAAAGUGAACGCAGGUGAGAGCUUCGGCGCAUCAUCGACCGAUCCUGAUGUUCUCGGAUGGAUUUGAGUAAGAGCAUAUAGGGUUGGACCCGAAAGAAGGUGAACUAUGCGUGUAUAGGGUGAAGCCAGAGGAAACUCUGGUGGAGGCUCGCAGCGGUUCUGACGUGCAAAUCGAUCGUCAAAUAUGCGCAUGGGGGGCGAAAGACUAAUCGAACCUUCUAGUAGCUGGUUUCCGC